UAACGUCUAAAUUAACUUUUUUUUGCUGAUGAACUGUAUAAAUGAGUGUCUAAUAGUGUUUUAAAUGUGUGCAUUCUUUAUUUUAGCAUUUUGGUGCAUUUUCUUUAAAAAUUAAAAAUUCUGGCUAAAAACCACAGUAAUGUGCCACCUUCAGCUGAAAACAUAGAAUCUGAGUCAUUUUGAAUAAAUUUUAGCCAAUGGCUAAAGAGUAAAGUACUACGUAAACCAGUAGAGUACUACGUAGCAGCUCCGUGCCAAAGUUAUAAAAGUAACGAGCGUCUCGGCCACGCCCUGUGGCGAGUGGGAGUUGGAUUUGCAAGUGAGUGUAGGAGGUCAGCGGUAGUUCAGCAUUAGCAUAUAGCAUUAGCAUAUCCUAGUCUUAGCAUAUCUUUUAGUGUUAUAAAUACUUAUUUAGUGUUAGAUUUGGCUGUUUGAUAUUGUAGUUUAGUUAGUGUUUGGCUGUUAGUGUAAUUGGGAAAGUAUUUCGGGUUUAGUGCUCCAUAUCGUCUUAGUAUUGGUGAGUAGGUGUAGUGUAGUAUGCUUGCGGUGACUCUGUGGGCAUUUUACCCGCGAUUCUGCACGUCUCCGUUUGAAGAGGCAGGCUGCCCACCGUGGCUCUUCCGCGAUUUAGAUGCAGCCCACCGACUCUGCUCCCCCACCACGGCGGGCUCCAGUCUGAGGUGAGUAAGCUAAAUAAACGUUUUAACAUCUUCUAAAGACAAUUCCCUACCUAAAUGCAAAGUUUGAGAGACGUGGUUCACUUCCUUUAGCUAGUCAGUCGGCAAUUCUGCAACAGUGUCUCUAACUGACGCAGCACUUGACAGACAGCAUUACAGCGUCAAAUCCAGCUUGUGAACAGGUUCUGUGAGGAAUUCUGUUCAGGAGGUCGCAUUUCAGGCUCUCCACAUCAUGUGUGACUGACUUUUACGUUAUAAUGAUCACACACUAGGAAUGUUAUAAAGCGCCUAUAUGGGACAGUUUCUUUUGUAUAUUAUCUGACUUUAUAAACUCUCAACAACAAUGUGCUUAUAUAUUUUUUUCAGGCUAAAUCUACCCAAGACACUGGCUGUCAGACUGAUUUAGCUGCAAGAAUGCACUUGUCCAGGCUGACGUGAAACCUUCCCUGUAGCAAAGCCAGCCAGAAUGGAGUUCACAGCCGCAGUGUGUUUGGUGACCCACGGGGACCAUGAUGAAAAUUCAUCUUCCAGAAGGUCCCAGAGCAGCGGCCACACCCCCUGAAAAGACCAAGGUGUGAGGUGUCUGCUGUUGAUUCCAGCUUCCACCUCAGUGACGGUGCAAGCUCAGUGAACUGUUCAAGCCUGGCUGAUCACCUGAUAACUCCUGUCAUCUGGUUAUGACAGCAUGAGGAUGUCCUCACACACCUGUAACCUAUCAGCUCAUCUGGCAGAAUAGAGAGAGAAGAGACAACACCACAUCUCCUGUUCCUGGAAAGCCUUCAGCCAUCCUUCGAUGACUGAGAACCUCCAUCAGCUCUGUCUCCUGUCUGCCUACAAUUAUUAUAAUAAAUAUUGUGUUUGACAAGUUUUUUUGUGCUGCCAAAUAUCUCAUAUAGAUUCCAGUUUUGAUAUUUUAAUGGAUAUUUAUAAAUUACAUUAAUUGAAUUAUCACAAUGCAUGUUUAACUAGCUCUAAUG
Molecule: non-coding RNA, 1654 nt
Organism: Nothobranchius furzeri (turquoise killifish)
Lineage: Eukaryota; Metazoa; Chordata; Actinopteri; Cyprinodontiformes; Nothobranchiidae
Source: RefSeq, a predicted model, not a curated record